RNAcentral lists this ribosomal RNA (2671 nucleotides) under Gammaproteobacteria bacterium. RNAcentral describes it as "23S ribosomal RNA". It matches the Rfam family "Bacterial large subunit ribosomal RNA". Lineage: Bacteria; Pseudomonadati; Pseudomonadota; Gammaproteobacteria. The record is from RNAcentral.
GGUCAAGCGAGUAAGCGCAUACGGUGGAUGCCUUGGCAGCUGGAGGCGAUGAAAGACGUACGAGCCUGCGAAAAGCUUCGGGGAGCCGGCAAACCAGACUUUGAUCCGGAGAUAUCCGAAUGGGGAAACCCACUGGCUUCGGCAGUAUCUCCCACUGAAUACAUAGGGGUUAGAAGCGAACCCGGGGAACUGAAACAUCUAAGUACCCGGAGGAAAGGACAUCAAACGAGAUUCCGCUAGGAGUGGCGAGCGAACGCGGAUCAGCCUGCAUGUGAUAACUUCAGCGUUAGGAGAAUCAUCUGGAAAGUUCAGCCAUACAGGGUGAUAGCCCCGUACCCGAAAACGCUAAAGUGAUACUAGGCUCGCGAUGAGUAGGUCGGGACACGUGUUAUCUUGACUGAAUAUGGGGGGACCAUCCUCCAAGGCUAAAUACUCCCAGCUGACCGAUAGUGAACCAGUACCGUGAGGGAAAGGCGAAAAGAACCCCGGAGAGGGGAGUGAAAUAGAUCCUGAAACCGUAUGCGUACAAGCAGUAGGAGCCCUUCGGGGUGACUGCGUACCUUUUGUAUAAUGGGUCAGCGACUUACUGUCAGUGGCGAGCUUAACCGUCUAGGGGAGGCGUAGGGAAACCGAGUCUUAAUAGGGCGUUUAGUCGCUGGUAGUAGACCCGAAACCGGGCGAUCUAGCCAUGGACAGGGUGAAGGUUCGGUAACACGGACUGGAGGCCCGAACCGGGAUCUGUUGAAAAAGAUUCGGAUGAGCUGUGGGUAGGAGUGAAAGGCUAAUCAAGCUUGGAAAUAGCUGGUUCUCCCCGAAAGCUAUUUAAGUAGCGCCUGGCGUGAUUACCCUCGGGGGUAGAGCACUGUUUCGGCUAGGGGGUCAUCCCGACUUACCAAACCGAUGCAAACUCCGAAUACCGUGGAGUACAGCCUGGCAGACACACGGCGGGUGCUAACGUCCGUCGUGAAAAGGGAAACAACCCAGACCGCCAGCUAAGGUCCCCAAUACUGGUUAAGUGGGAAACGAUGUGGGAAGGCACAGACAGCUAGGAGGUUGGCUUAGAAGCAGCCAUCCUUUAAAGAAAGCGUAAUAGCUCACUAGUCGAGUCGGCCUGCGCGGAAGAUUUAACGGGGCUCAAACCAGUAACCGAAGCUGCGGGUGCUCGCGUUUACGCGCAUGGUAGAGGAGCGUUCCGUAAGCCGUUGAAGGUGGAUCGUAAGGUCCGCUGGAGGUAUCGGAAGUGCGAAUGCUGACAUGAGUAACGAUAAUGGGGGUGAAAAACCCCCACGCCGAAAGACCAAGGGUUCCUGUCCAACGUUAAUCGGCGCGGGGUUAGUCGGUUCCUAAGGCGAGGCCGAAAGGCGUAGUCGAUGGAAAGCUGGUUAAUAUUCCAGUACCAAGUGCCACUGCGAUGGGGGGACGGAGAAGGCUAGGCCAGACGGGCGUUGGUAGUCCCGUUCUAAGCGUGUAGGGAGUGUCCUUAGGCAAAUAAACUUGCUUUCAAAGCUGUUGGGAGCCGAAGUAACCAGGCCGCUGCGACUGUUUAUUAAAAACACAGCACUCUGCAAACUCGUAAGAGGACGUAUAGGGUGUGACGCCUGCCCGGUGCCGGAAGGUUAAUUGAUGGGGUUAGCGCAAGCGAAGCUCUUGAUCGAAGCCCCGGUAAACGGCGGCCGUAACUAUAACGGUCCUAAGGUAGCGAAAUUCCUUGUCGGGUAAGUUCCGACCUGCACGAAUGGCGUAACGAUGGCGGCGCUGUCUCCACCCGAGACUCAGUGAAAUUGAAAUCGCUGUGAAGAUGCAGUGUACCCGCGGCUAGACGGAAAGACCCCCGUGAACCUUUACUAUAGCUUGGCACUGAACUUUGAAUCUACUUGUGUAGGAUAGGUGGGAGGCUUUGAAGCGUGGACGCUAGUCUGCGUGGAGCCAUCCUUGAAAUACCACCCUGGUAUAUUUGAGGUUCUAACUCCGGCCCGUUAUCCGGGUCGAGGACAGUGUCUGGUGGGUAGUUUGACUGGGGCGGUCUCCUCCCAAAGAGUAACGGAGGAGCACGAAGGUACCCUCGGCAUGGUCGGAAAUCAUGCUAUGAGUGCAAAGGCAUAAGGGUGCUUGACUGCGAGACUUACAAGUCGAGCAGGUACGAAAGUAGGUCUUAGUGAUCCGGUGGUUCUGUAUGGAAGGGCCAUCGCUCAACGGAUAAAAGGUACUCCGGGGAUAACAGGCUGAUACCGCCCAAGAGUUCACAUCGACGGCGGUGUUUGGCACCUCGAUGUCGGCUCAUCACAUCCUGGGGCUGAAGCAGGUCCCAAGGGUAUGGCUGUUCGCCAUUUAAAGUGGUACGCGAGCUGGGUUUAGAACGUCGUGAGACAGUUUGGUCCCUAUCUGCCGUGGGCGUUGGAAAUUUGAGGAGAGCUGCUCCUAGUACGAGAGGACCGGAGUGGACGAACCUCUGGUGUUCGGGUUGUCACGCCAGUGGCAUUGCCCGGUAGCUAUGUUCGGACAGGAUAACCGCUGAAAGCAUCUAAGCGGGAAGCCCCCUCCAAGAUGAGAUUUCCCUGGGCCCUUGAGGCCCCUGAAGGGCUGUCUUAGACCAAGACGUUGAUAGGCCGGGUGUGUAAGCGUCGCGAGACGUUGAGCUAACCGGUACUAAUUGCCCGUGAGGCUUGACCAU